UACGUAGGCGGAAAAUUAAGUCAGUAGUGAAAUCCUGCAGCUUAACUGUAGACUUGCCAUUGAUACUGUUAGUCUUGAGUACGGUCAAGGUAGGCGGAAUGUGUAAUGUAGCGGUGAAAUGCUUAGAUAUUACACAGAACACCGAUUGCGAAGGCAGCUUACUGGGCCAUUACUGACGCUGAGGCACGAAAGCGUGGGGAGCGAACAGGAUUAGAUACCCUGGUAGUCC
RNAcentral lists this ribosomal RNA (229 nucleotides) under uncultured bacterium. RNAcentral describes it as "partial 16S ribosomal RNA". It matches the Rfam family "Bacterial small subunit ribosomal RNA", at positions 568 to 796 of the family's 1533-position model. The record is from RNAcentral.